This 440-nucleotide ribosomal RNA is filed under the name uncultured bacterium. RNAcentral's name for it is "partial 16S ribosomal RNA". It matches the Rfam family "Bacterial small subunit ribosomal RNA", at positions 338 to 795 of the family's 1533-position model. The record is from RNAcentral.
CCUACGGGAGGCAGCAGUGGGGAAUAUUGCACAAUGGGGGAAACCCUGAUGCAGCAACGCCGCGUGAGUGAUGAAGGCCUUCAGGUUGUAAAGCCCUGUCUUCAGGGAAGAUAAUGACGGUAUCUAAGGAGGAAGCCACGGCUAACUACGUGCCAGCAGCCGCGGUAAUACGUAGGUGGCGAGCGUUGCCCGGAUUUACUGGGCGUAAAGGGAGCGUAGGCGGACUUUUAAGUGAGAUGUGAAAUACUCGGGCUCAACUUGAGUGCUGCAUUUGAAACUGUAAGUCUGGAGUGCAGGAGAGGAGAAUGGAAUUCCUAGUGUAGCGGUGAAAGGCGUAGAGAUUAGGAAGAACACCAGUUGCGAAGGCGAUUCUCUGGACUGUAACUGACGCUGAGGCACGAAAGCGUGGGGAGCAAACAGGAUUAGAUACCCCUGUAGUC